RNAcentral lists this unclassified non-coding RNA (248 nucleotides) under uncultured Ascomycota. RNAcentral describes it as "sequence contains 5.8S rRNA gene, ITS2, 28S rRNA gene". Lineage: Eukaryota; Fungi; Ascomycota. The record is from RNAcentral.
AACGCACAUUGCACCCGGUGGUAUUCUACCGGGUACACCUGUCUGAGCGUCAUUUCUGCACCCAAGCCCCUCUGCUUGGUGUUGGAGAUCUGCCCCGUCGCAGUCUCUGAAAAAUAUUGGCGGGCCUGUCUCUUGCCCCUCGCGUAGUACAUCUCACGCAACGGUCCUGGACAGGUCGAGCCAGAAGCUUUCUCCUAAAGGCACUGAAAGUUGACCUCAGAUCAGGUGGGAAUACCCGCUGAACUUAA